Molecule: long non-coding RNA, 2217 nt
Organism: Chloebia gouldiae (Gouldian finch)
Lineage: Eukaryota; Metazoa; Chordata; Aves; Passeriformes; Passeridae
Source: Ensembl
GCCCUGCUGAGGCUGCCAAGGGAUUGAAUAACAGAUGGGAAGAAACAAAGAGCCUGCAAGGAGUAAUCCCAGACACAACUGUCCUCAUGGGAAAAAUAUUCUAUUAUCCAGUGCCAGCGUUUGCCUUUCAGGGAAUGAUAACUCAGUACAAGGUCUUUUUAGCCAGUGGUGCAGAUUUGCCAAAGUGGUUGGAAUUCAACCCUGAAGCAAACACACUGCAAGGGCUGCCGAUGGCAGGGGAGGGAGGAAUGUACCUGCUCAACCUUGCUGCCUCUGGAGGGCUGCCUGCCCAGGAAACACUGAGGGCUGCUGGAAAUUUCACCAUCCACGUGCAGGACAGCAGUUUAUCCUUGGAAAUGCAGAACUUGAAGCACUUGCCAAACAGCUACCAGUGUGGGAAGGAAGCUCCCAUCACUUGUGCAGAAAUCAUUCUCUCUGCUGCAGCAGCAGCCCUGGCAGCUCGGGAGCGCCUGUCCGUGGUGUGCAGGAUGGCUGAGUACCUACACCUGGACAGCUCCCUGCUGACCCUGCUGCAGCACACAGACCCCGCAGCCAGGGGCUGCCACGUCCUGGCUGAGGACACCAGGCACAUCAACCUCACCACAAACAACUACGUGGGGCUCUCCUGGCCCGUCACGUGUGGAGGUUUUGCCCUGCUCCACGAAUUCAUCCAGGUCCUGCAGCACAACAUGGACUCACAUCACCUCUCACGGCUGCUGGGGUAUGAAAUUGCAGGCUGGAGAAUACUCAGGAGAGGGGAGUAUGAAAGAAAGUCUCCAAGACUACACCGCAGGCAAUUAAUGAUCACCCCAACACCUGCAUUAAAACCAACUAGAAUUACCCAGAGACCAGCUGCAGGAGAGACUUCCAGGCCUUUGUUCUUUCCUGUGCCAAGCCAGUUACUCACACCACUUGUGCUAUCACUCAGAUCUACUCAGAGUUUAUCAACUUUCUGUGCAGAAAGUAUAACCAUGGCAAGUUACAAGAUGCAGAAUAUCCACCUUGCAAGUCAAGAAAGCUUGGUCACCUUAGAAAUGGACUCAGCACAGGACAUGCCAACUAACCCCACAGUGUCCAUUAUGUUUGCAGACUCUCAUUUCCCAGAUCUUUCUCCUUCACUGAUGACUGAAACAAGGCUUCUCUUCUCUGAACUGGAAGUGCUGCCUGCUAGAGUUUCUGGUACAUCCUUGCUGUCAGAGCAGCCAGAGCCCCACGUGCCUGAGGCAGAAUCCUAUUUCCUUUCCAGUGAAUCAGAGAUAUCCACAUACCAUCUCCUACAGGAUGUCACUUCAGGCACAGAGCAGCUUUCCAGGUCAUGGGUGAUAAACACUCUUCAGGAGUGGCCUCACAGCUCUGCAGUGGCAUUUUCUCCCAAGACAGAAUUACACCCAUUUUUGCCAGGAGAAAUGUCAGUAUCAGAAGUGCCAGAUUACAGCAAUGAGGUAAAAAAUCACUUUCCAGAGACUGAAAAUAUUUCUGAUGCAUCCCUCUGUCCAGAAGCACUCCCUUCACUACUCCAAGAAGCUUCACUAAGGGCCACAGCUUUGUUUGGCCUCACAUCUCCCAUCGAGGACACAUUCCCAGCUGUCCUAGUGAGCAGCAGUCUGAGCCAAAUGUUCACUAAUGGCUGUGAACCUCAGUCUAAACCUUCUAUGACUAUCUCACAGCCCAGUGGCUUUUCAUUUGCUGGAGGGAAAAGCACAGCUUCUUUUGUGGCCCAGAGAGAAGCACAGACCCUCUAUUCCAAAUUGAUUUUCAGUGCUGAAGUCUCAGACAGCUUUCCUCACACAUUAACCAGCACUGUCCCUGGUAAAGCUGAAGCACCUCAUGAGCCAAGUCUGAUCACUCUGUCCCAUCCUGACACUACUCCAGUUCUUACUGUGCCAGAAGACCUUUCUGCCUUUCACAUGUCCAGAUCAUCCAGACCACCAUUCCCUCCUGCUUACAGCAGCAGCAUGCUCAGAACAGAGCCACAGCCCACAAGGAUUUUACCCAGUGGCACAGAGGAAUUGCUUUCAGACAAAGAUCUGGGAACAAGUGGGAUUUUGACAAGUGUCACCGAGCCUACCUUGGAGUCACACAACAUCUUGGGUAUCAAGCCAGAUGCUGUAGAAGCACCUCUGGUGACUUUGUUUAAUGCCACUUCUCACCUGCCCAGCAGCAUACCAGAGAUGGGUGAGACACUGCUGCCAUCACACCUGGAUCCAAGCACCCAGC